Molecule: unclassified non-coding RNA, 252 nt
Filed under: Hevea brasiliensis (rubber tree)
Lineage: Eukaryota; Viridiplantae; Streptophyta; Magnoliopsida; Malpighiales; Euphorbiaceae
Source: RNAcentral
GUUCCAGAGAUCCAGAUCUCUUGGUGGAUCAUCACAGCAGAGCUCUUCUAGGCUUCUUGGUCAUCAGGUCAGACUUGCUGAUUAAGGGUUGUAGCCUAGGUUGAUUGUAGAUCUUUAUAUAGGGCUGUGACUGUUGUGAUUCUUUGUACACAUUGUUGGUUGGUAUCUAUGAAGGAAGUCGUUGUUUAGAUCUUGUGUGCUUUAUUAUGGUUGUGACUUCUGUUUGUAAUUGCUUUGGUGCUUUGAUGUGAG